This 178-nucleotide ribosomal RNA is filed under the name uncultured Rhodospirillales bacterium. RNAcentral's name for it is "partial 16S ribosomal RNA". It matches the Rfam family "Bacterial small subunit ribosomal RNA", at positions 153 to 334 of the family's 1533-position model. The record is from RNAcentral. Lineage: Bacteria; Pseudomonadati; Pseudomonadota; Alphaproteobacteria; Rhodospirillales.
GAAACUUCGGCUAACACCGCAUGACACCUUCGGGUCAAAGGCGCCAGUGACAUGGUGGUCGCCUGGGGAGGUGCCUGCGUCCGAUUAGCUAGUUGGUGGGGUAAAGGCCUACCAAGGCUGCGAUCGGUAGCUGGUCUGAGAGGAUGAUCAGCCACACUGGGACUGAGACACGGCCCAG